AGAGUUUGAUCCUGGCUCAGAACGAACGCUGGCGGCGUGCCUAACACAUGCAAGUCGAACGUGAUCCGCCCUUCGGGGUGGUGAAAGUGGCGCACGGGUGAGUAACGCGUGGAUAAUCUGCCCGAGGAUUUGGGAUAACAUCUUGAAAGGGGUGCUAAUACCGAAUAAGCCCACGGGGUCUACGGAUCUUGCGGGAAAAGGGGGGGACCUUCGGGCCUCCUGUCCUUGGAUGAGUCUGCGUACCAUUAGCUAGUUGGUGGGGUAAUGGCCUACCAAGGCGACGAUGGUUAGCUGGUCUGAGAGGAUGAUCAGCCACACUGGAACUGAGACACGGUCCAGACUCCUACGGGAGGCAGCAGUGGGGAAUUUUGCGCAAUGGGGGAAACCCUGACGCAGCAACGCCGCGUGGGUGAUGAAGGCCUUCGGGUCGUAAAGCUCUGUCUGGAGGGAAGAAAUGAUUGGGAGCUAAUACCUCUUGAUCUUGACGGUACCUCUGAAGGAAGCACCGGCUAACUCCGUGCCAGCAGCCGCGGUAAUACGGAGGGUGCAAGCGUUGUUCGGAAUUAUUGGGCGUAAAGCGCGUGUAGGCGGUCUUUUAAGUCUGAUGUGAAAGCCCCGGGCUCAACCUGGGAAGUGCAUUGGAAACUGGGAGGCUUGAGUACGGGAGAGGAGAGUGGAAUUCCUAGUGUAGGAGUGAAAUCCGUAGAUAUUAGGAGGAGCACCGGUGGCGAAGGCGGCUCUCUGGACCGAUACUGACGCUGAACGCGAAAGCGUGGGUAGCAAACAGGAUUAGAUACCC
Molecule: ribosomal RNA, 799 nt
Filed under: uncultured bacterium
Lineage: Bacteria
Description: bacterial SSU rRNA
Rfam family: Bacterial small subunit ribosomal RNA
Source: RNAcentral